GCCCGGGUGGCGGAAUAGGCAGACGCAAGGGACUUAAAAUCCCUUGGGGCUUUGUCCCCGUGCGGGUUCAAUUCCCGCCCCGGGCACCA
Molecule: transfer RNA, 89 nt
Filed under: Candidatus Desulfofervidus auxilii
Lineage: Bacteria; Pseudomonadati; Thermodesulfobacteriota; Candidatus Desulfofervidia; Candidatus Desulfofervidales; Candidatus Desulfofervidaceae
Also listed under: 2 other names
Description: tRNA-Leu
Rfam family: tRNA
About the family: Transfer RNA (tRNA) molecules are approximately 80 nucleotides in length.
Source: RNAcentral